RNAcentral lists this ribosomal RNA (174 nucleotides) under Triticum aestivum (bread wheat). Its description in RNAcentral is "partial small subunit ribosomal RNA". Lineage: Eukaryota; Viridiplantae; Streptophyta; Magnoliopsida; Poales; Poaceae. The record is from RNAcentral.
AUGGCCUCGCUGGCCAUGCUCGUGUCAUGGACCAUUUGGAACGAGAGAAAUGUCCGGGUCUUCCGGCACAAGAGCGCCCCACCGCCAAUUUUGCUCACUACGAUCACUAACGAGCCAAAUCUUUGGGUCACCGCCGGAGCAAAGAAACCGGUGUCUAUUAUUUUGCGUGAGUAA